Molecule: ribosomal RNA, 1410 nt
Filed under: Triticum aestivum (bread wheat)
Lineage: Eukaryota; Viridiplantae; Streptophyta; Magnoliopsida; Poales; Poaceae
Description: partial small subunit ribosomal RNA
Source: RNAcentral
GCUUCACGUCACCCAAUCACGUGCCGAGCAGAUUGGGCGGCCUCGCCCGCAGCCCCCUGUUUUUGGGAUCGUGACUUCUUUCUCUAGGCCCCAGAUCGAGAAACUUGAGGGCUCCUUCCUUCCCCUCCUCCCGUGCGCUUCCCACUGAUCCGCCCCAAGUCGACCCCGUCUCCGGUCGAUGCCGGCGCUCCUGCAAGCCGUCGCCGACCUCCUAUGCCGAACGCCAUGGCCAUGGACCGAAGCUCCGUUGGUCCCUCCCUCACGACUGCCAGUCUUCCUCCCGACCAGAUCGACGACGGCGAUGACCGGAUCUGCCCCACUGCCGUCCGUUUCCAAGGGACGUCAACGGAUGGGGUUUCUUCAUCUCAGCCUCCACCACCCGCGGGCUCACCGGUGAUGGACCUGCUCAGCAUGUAGGAUUGCGUGCUUCCUGGCGAGGUGGUCGUGUCUUGCCCGACGCGCCCUCGGCUGUCGAGUCUUUUUCCUCGGCGCGCCGUCCUCCAGUACCUCUGUCGUCAUUUGUACCACCGUGCGCCACUGCCCGUUCGCGUGAACCAUCCAGCCAUCCUCCCUGGGGCUCCAAUCUGUGAGUAUGUUGGUGUGUUGCCGAGGACUGGAGAGAAAAGGUCAGGGUCUGAUAUGCAUAUGCCAUCACUUCAUGUUGAGAACAAUUCCGAGGCACCACCGGCACCCGAGUACUGCAUCGAUGCUGGCUCCGUUGGAAGUUUCGCAAGGUUCAUAAACCACGGCUGCAACCCUAACCUCUUCGCCCAGUGUGUCCUAACCAAUCACCACGACAUCAAGCUAGAAAAGGUAGCACCUAACAUCGACAACUGCGAUGUCAUGAACUCCCUCGCAAUUGCCGAAUAUGUCGCUGAAAUUACAACUUCUACAGACAGACCAAGGAGUUGAGUUGUGAGGCCCCCACCGACAUGACACACCAAACUGAUAUCAAUGAGAAAAGGCGUAGUAUUCCCAUUGACUGGUUGACUGAGGUGCAGUACAAGCUUGAGCUACUAGGUGAAACACUAUUCCUUGUUGUCAACAUCAUUAAUAGAUCAAUGCAUAGAAAAACAUGUCUCGAUUUUUCUCUUGAAUGGAACCUGCAAGUUUCUCAACUGUUUAGUGAAGCUUACCUUGAAAAGAACUAUAAAUACUACAGGAAGUAGAGUAAGACAAUGACAGUUAAUUGGAAUAUUGAUUUUGAGAGGAUAUUUAUGGGUUUAGAUCUCUGUAAUUACAUAUUACUUUCCUUGCUGAUGCUAUUGCUCAUGACUAAAAAGCACGGACACGGCAGGAAUUGCCGAUUGGCUGUUUUUGGAAAAUGUUGUAUCCCGUAUCCCCGUAUGCGUAUCCCCAACUUUCCGUCCCUGUGUCCGUGCUUUUUAGCCUCAUGUUAUAAAACUGCCC